CAACAGCACAAAUUUCACCACGGAAAACCUCUUUUCCUCUUCUUCUUCCUCAGGUUGCUUCCCAGGGUUCACCUCUGAUGGUCGGUCAGGCGAGUGCUUCCAGCAGCUUCUCAGGCCUGCGCUGCAGAAAUGCGAAUGAGGACUGGAUGUCGGCGCUGUGUCCCCAGCUCUGGGAUGUGCCCCUCCACCACCUCUCCAUCCCAGGGAGCUACGACACCAUGACGUACUGACUCAACAAGAAGUCACCCAUUUCCCAGGAGGAGUCCCGGCUGCUGCAGCUGCUCAACAUGGCCUUCCCCUGCAUCACGCACACCAUGGUGCUGAAUUGGUCCAUCACCCAGGUGCUGGACAUCACGGAGCAGCUGGAUGCCGGCGUGCGGUACUUACACCUGCAGAUUGCCCUCAUGCUGGACGGCUCUGAGAAGAACCUGCAGUUUGUUCACAUGGUAUACACCAUGGCACUGGUGGAGGUACGACCAGGCUGGGGGGAUGCACGGGGAGCGCUCAGGAGGUGGCCGGCCUCCCAUGGGGAACCAGACUGCCAUAGGGACGGGAGGUUCCUGACCUUUAGUGGGAUGACAAUGUCAGCUUCAGGGCCAGACAAGAGACCAGGAGAUGCUGACGCCUGCUGAUCUGUUAGGAGCACUUAUAUUUUUUUCUUUUGGAGAUGGAGUCUCGCUCUGUCACCCAGGCUGGAGUGCAGUGGCUCAAUCUCGGCUCACUACAACCUCCGCCCACCAAGUUCAAGCGAUUCUCCUGCCUCAGCCUCCCAAGUACCCGGGAUUACAGGCACCCACCACCACACCCGGCUAAUUUUCAUAUUUUUAGUAGAGAUGGGGUUUCACCAGGUUGGCCAGGCUGGUCUCGAACUCUUGACCUCAGGUGAUCCGCCUGCCUCAGCCUCUCAAAAUGCUGGGAUUACAGGCGUGAGCCACCACACCUGGCAUUCGGGGGGUUCUUGACCGAUGUGAAUUUCUUCAUUUCUUUUUUUCUUUUUGUUUUCCUUCUACUUUUUUGAGACAGAGUCUUGCUCUGUCGCCCAGGCUGGAGUGCAGUGGCGCAAUCUCAGCUCACUGCAACGUCUUCCUUCCUGUUCAAGCAAUUCUCCUGCCUCAGCCUCUGGAGUAGCUGGGAUUAUAAGCAUGCACCACCACGCCGGGCUAAUUUUUUGUAUUUUUAGUAGAGAUGGGUUUUUACGGUAUUAGCCAGGAUGGUCUUGAUCUCCUGACCUCGUGAUCCAUCCACCUUGGCCUCCCAAAGUCCUAGGAUUAUAGGCGUGAGCCACUGUACCUGGCUUACGGGGACUUCUGCACCAAUGUGCGUUUCUGAGCUUGCUUGGGUUUCUCCUGCAUUUUUCACCAGUUACUUUGGCUAGCUCUGGUCCCCCGGGCUUUGUCAGGCUGUCUGCAC
Molecule: long non-coding RNA, 1410 nt
Filed under: Aotus nancymaae (Ma's night monkey)
Lineage: Eukaryota; Metazoa; Chordata; Mammalia; Primates; Aotidae
Description: lncRNA (ENSANAG00000038868.1)
Source: RNAcentral